This 254-nucleotide long non-coding RNA is filed under the name Mytilus galloprovincialis (Mediterranean mussel). The record is from RNAcentral. Lineage: Eukaryota; Metazoa; Mollusca; Bivalvia; Mytilida; Mytilidae.
UAGGGCCACAAUUAAAAAUAUUUUGGUUUGCCCAAACCCUACCCAAGGUUGAGACAGUGGAUAGGUAGGUAGGCAUUUUCUUUUCUUUCUUUUUUUUUUAAAGAAAUUUACGUAUCAAAUGUUUAUUAGUCUUCAUGCCUAUCUGAUUAAAAAAAAACUUCUUCAAAUCAGGACAAUAAAAGAAUUUGAGUAGGCAGUUUUUUUCUGGGUAGGUAGGGUUUGGGCAAACAAACCUAUUCUUUUUUAUGGCCUAG